This 506-nucleotide ribosomal RNA is filed under the name uncultured Burkholderiales bacterium. RNAcentral describes it as "bacterial SSU rRNA". It matches the Rfam family "Bacterial small subunit ribosomal RNA", at positions 83 to 585 of the family's 1533-position model. The record is from RNAcentral. Lineage: Bacteria; Pseudomonadati; Pseudomonadota; Betaproteobacteria; Burkholderiales.
CCCUGGUGGCGAGUGGCGAACGGGUGAGUAAUAUAUCGGAACGUGCCCAGUCGUGGGGGAUAACGUAGCGAAAGUUACGCUAAUACCGCAUACGAUCUACGGAUGAAAGCGGGGGAUCGCAAGACCUCGCGCGAUUGGAGCGGCCGAUAUCAGAUUAGGUAGUUGGUGGGGUAAAGGCUCACCAAGCCAACGAUCUGUAGCUGGUCUGAGAGGACGACCAGCCACACUGGGACUGAGACACGGCCCAGACUCCUACGGGAGGCAGCAGUGGGGAAUUUUGGACAAUGGACGCAAGUCUGAUCCAGCCAUUCCGCGUGCAGGACGAAGGCCUUCGGGUUGUAAACUGCUUUUGUACGGAGCGAAAAAGCUCUUACUAAUACUAGGAGUCCAUGACGGUACCGUAAGAAUAAGCACCGGCUAACUACGUGCCAGCAGCCGCGGUAAUACGUAGGGUGCGAGCGUUAAUCGGAAUUACUGGGCGUAAAGCGUGCGCAGGCGGUUAUAUA